RNAcentral lists this ribosomal RNA (86 nucleotides) under Podocytisus caramanicus. RNAcentral's name for it is "partial 5.8S ribosomal RNA". It matches the Rfam family "5.8S ribosomal RNA", at positions 73 to 154 of the family's 154-position model. From Rfam's summary of the family: 5.8S ribosomal RNA (5.8S rRNA) is a component of the large subunit of the eukaryotic ribosome. It is transcribed by RNA polymerase I as part of the 45S precursor that also contains 18S and 28S rRNA. Functionally, it is thought that 5.8S rRNA may be involved in ribosome translocation. Lineage: Eukaryota; Viridiplantae; Streptophyta; Magnoliopsida; Fabales; Fabaceae. The record is from RNAcentral.
UGCAGAAUCCCGUGAACCAUCGAGUCUUUGAACGCAAGUUGCGCCCGAAGCCAUUAGGCUGAGGGCACGCCUGCCUGGGUGUUGCA